This is a long non-coding RNA of Aphidius gifuensis, 366 nucleotides long. RefSeq lists it as uncharacterized. The transcript is spliced from 4 exons. Lineage: Eukaryota; Metazoa; Arthropoda; Insecta; Hymenoptera; Braconidae. The record is from RefSeq and is a predicted model, not a curated record.
UUUUCAAUAAAGCUUACUCGUUGAAUUGGUAGCAACAUUGAACGUAUAAGAAGUUGAACGGUACAACUAAAUUGUGCAGUUGCUCGUUCAAGAAUCAUAUAGUGUGACGUGGACUUUUCGAUGGCACAACUAAUAUUAUUAUCAUCAUCAACAUGUCAUUUUUUUUAAAUUAUCCAUAAGCCUUUGGCUUCUGCAUGGAUGUGACGUGAAGGGUUUCAGACGACGGUGGCCCAGCGGCUAAUGGAUUACUGGAGCAAGCCGGGCCACCGAGUGCAUGGAUUUAUUUUCAAAGAUUGGAAUGUGAAGUUGAAGACAUGGUAAGUCAUAGUAAAUAGUUUUUUCAAGCUUUUAACAUGCAUGUAAAUG